GGGUAAUAAAACCUAAAGGCAAAACAAAAGUAAAGAAAGCUUUGCUUUUUAAGGGAAGAGGGUUAAAUUUUAGCCCGCACUCCCGGGGCGUUAAUUACUCAUUACGAGUAAAGGCGCACCUAGAGCGUACAUGUUGGGUCCCGAAAGAUGGUGAACUAUACCUGACCAGGAUGAAGCCAGGGGAAACCCUGGUGGAGGUCCGUAGCGAUUCUGACGUGCAAAUCGAUCGUCAGAGUUAGGUAUAGGGGCAAAGAUUAUUCAA
RNAcentral lists this ribosomal RNA (262 nucleotides) under Nannocoris sp. Peru 326. RNAcentral's name for it is "partial 28S ribosomal RNA". It matches the Rfam family "Eukaryotic large subunit ribosomal RNA", at positions 696 to 938 of the family's 3401-position model. The record is from RNAcentral. Lineage: Eukaryota; Metazoa; Arthropoda; Insecta; Hemiptera; Schizopteridae.